Molecule: long non-coding RNA, 328 nt
Filed under: Brassica napus (rape)
Lineage: Eukaryota; Viridiplantae; Streptophyta; Magnoliopsida; Brassicales; Brassicaceae
Description: long non-coding RNA (BNAP_LNC005704)
Source: RNAcentral
UUAAGAGAGAUUUUAGUUUCAUAAUAUUUAUUUUAUGUGGCUUAAUUAAUAUUAUUAUAAUUGUUUUAUGUAAUUUAUCCUGCUAAUAAUUUAUUUCAUAUUACAAUCAAAUUUGUUUUUAAUAAUUAGUGUUAAGCAUUUAUCUUCAGAUAAUAUAUAUUUUGAACAUUUCCAUAACUAUUUCUGUUACUAUAUUUAUUGUACAAUGUAGUCAUUUUUGAUGUAUCUUCAGAUAAUAAUAUAUGUACAAAGUAUUAUAUAAUUUAGUUUUGAUUUAUUACAACUCUUUUCGUUAUGAAUUUUAAUAAAUCUCAGUAUUUCAUUUGCU